AUGCAAGUUAUCUGUGAAAUUCAAGAAAAUUGCAUACCUAUCAGGCGCUACUUGACGAUGCGAGCGAAACAGACCACCAUGGGCACGUGUGGGGUUUUUUGGUUUUUUUUACCCUCUCAAAAUUUGAGGUGCAGGUUAUCUGCGGGCGUAUAUGGGGAAAAUGAGUUGACUCAAGAAUGGAUGGAAACAUGAGGACAUGCAGCACACACCAUUCAAGGCUUAUGAGCCAGCACCAAAUAUUACCUGAAUGAAUUGAGAGUACUCCUUUUAAAAUAUUACCUAAUUUUUUUGCCCCAACUAUGUGCAUUUAAAUUCAUUGUCAAACAAAUAGUUCGUAUUCGCAAAAGAAGAAUGUACAACUAUACACUCACUCAUCAAAGGCGAUUCUACAAUAUACAUUUUUAACAGUUUCAUCUAAACCUCUUUGUUAAUGAAGAGGUAGAAAUGUUCAUACAAUUAUGAAUAAUACAAAGAUGAUGAAUAUCGAAGGCUACAGUUUGAAAAAAUUUACGUCUGACUGCCAUAUUUUAAGUCUAUGCUUAUGUUUCAUCUUUAAAAAGGCAAGCAAACCUACAAUCAGACAGAUUUAAUCAAAAUGAACCUAACUGUAUUUCAAGUUGCCUAAUUUUCUCUCAAGGUUUAUUUUUAUAACAGAUAACUAAUGACUACUCGCAAAAUUUCCGUGAAUUUACGCUAGAUCAUGAAGAAUAUACUCACAAAAAUUUCAAGUUUCAGUGUUGCUUCGUUUUCUGUUUGAAAAAGUAAAACAUUAGAGAAAAUAGGUAGUUAGCCUGAUUUUAGUUAAAGGAAUGCAUUUUCACUUGAAAUUUUGAUUAAAUUUCUUCAUUGAUUCAAUGAUAUUCACACAUAUUUCAAGAUGUUUUGGUUAAUUUUCUACCAGAGCAGUAAAACAUGGAAACGCAUUUAUAAAGACUGCAAUGCAAGCCAUCGAUAUAAAGGCUCCACUUAAUUCUUCUUACCUUUCCUCUGGGAAAAACAAUUUGAAUGAAUUAUUAGCCAAUAUAUCAUGGAUUGAGACUUAUAAGAGACUUUCAUGUGCAUGCAGCAUACUAAUUAUUACUUAAAUGCAUGUUCUACCAUGUUAGAUAAAAUGCUACGAACAUUCCCUGACAGAACUGGCUGAUGUCAUAAAUUAAUUCUAUUGCUAUUUUCAGAAAAAUACUUUAGCGGUCAUUCCGACAUUAGGUCAUUUGCAGUUCUUUUUACGACAAUAAUGUGGGGGAAAAUUUACCAAAAGAAAAGAGAAGAGAAUUCUAAUUCAAAUAACUAACAAAAAACAUUAGCUUAAAGAUUCAAAAUCAAACGAGAGUAACUUGUAUAGUAAAAUAAAGAUCAUAUAACACAAUGCUACAAUGAUUCUUCAGUUUAAAAGCUAUUUAUACACCUACAAAACAAGUGAUUAAAAUUUUAUUUAACAAGGAAAAUCUCAGGGUUUAUCGUAAAAUGUUACAAAAGUGAAGCAGGUACAGCAUAUGUUAAACACUAAAAUCGAUCAAAGAAUUUUACUUAAAAAUAUUCACCAGCACUUACUGAAUUGCGCUUAGCAAAAGUCAAACAGAAUAAAAGCAUGCAAAAUUAAAAAUACAAAAGGUAACUUGGGCUCCUAUUUUGUGCAGUACCUUCCUACCAUUGUAGGCUGAUACUUCUUGAUGCAACUAAUUUUAAACUGUAAAUUAUCACAUCGCCUACAAAGAGAAGAGAUAUAAAUUUUGAUGGAGGCUUUGUAGAGGUUUCAACUCUUUGAAAAAUGUAUGCAGUUUCCAGAUAGAAACACAUGGCAUCAAACAACCACUAGACAAGGUGUGAAUCUAAGAGUUAUGCAGUAUGUUUUCCCAUCAAAAUUUCACAUGAAACACAAUUGGUGCGACAAAGAUCAUUGAGAGUAAAUCUUAACCAACAUAUCGACUUUUUCAAUGCAUGAAUUCAAACUUCCUGCUAAUGAAACACAAUGAUCUACUUGAGUUAAAUUGCACAAUAAACUUUAUCCUAACAGGCUCUGCAGUAUAAAAAAUGGCAAACUCAAUCUUGGCACUUGGUUCUGCUCUUGCAUAUUAUUUGCACUUUUAACAACACAAAGGGGGGGGGGGAGCACUGCUCAAUUAAGAAGCCAGCCGAAACUGUCGUAGAGUGUGAUUUCAUUAACAUACACUAUUUUCUUUUGAGCAGGAAAUUUAAAUGUUUCAUAACCAGUGAUAAAUAAAAUGCUCAUAUUUUGUUAAGAUUUGAUUCCGGUGAUCUAGUUGCCCAAAUCACAUUUCACCUGAAGUUUUGGAGAGGAAACGUAUAUAAGAAUGCUUAAAUUCGUACCUCACUUAGAAGUCCACAUUGUGAUGAAUCGGUGGAUUUUGCCUUUCAUUUUUUCAUGGCCAGAAGAUACUGCGCAAAAAUAAUAUAGGAGCCAUGGCUUUAAAUUCUGAAGAAGAAAAUUUAAUAUUGGAGCCUUCAAGUAAUGUUCAGCCUCGGUUCUAUCACCUCUAGUUAUGCGCUUAACCUCUCACAAAAGUUCGACCAGCACUCUGAGUACCUGAUAAUGUUGUCAAAAGAUCGGGGUCCUUGAUUUCAAAUGUCUCUCCAGAACCAACAAAGUAAUACAGACGAUUGAAUUUACUAUGCAAGCCCUAAAAUUGUCAAAAAUAGCUUUUAAAAUUUUGCUUUGACAAGAGGUUAAAUUUGACCAGAGGUGGUAGAUAUUGCUCUUAGAGAGUUAAAAAGCAGAUAGUGAAUACUUAACUCAACACAACAAAAUAAAACUACAAUUUAAACUCAAGGGACAAAAAUAAACAUUUAAAAAAAAGAAGAAAUAAAGUAAAACAUUCAUUGAAAACUGAACGAAGAGAAAUAAAAAUUUUCGGUCGGAUGUUUGAAGAAGGUAAAAAAGUAAUUGGGAAAAAAAGAAUUUGGAGAACAAAAAGUACCGCUAAAAAGGACAGGAGGGUAAAAAUGUGAGACGAUUUUGAAACAAGGUAAAAAAACUCACGCUAAUGUGAAAAUGUCAUUUCUGUUUCCCACUUUUUUCAAGUGCACACUAUUUUAUGAUUUCAUUUUGAGUCUUUUUCACUACAAAUGGGCCACUUUACAAGGUCUGAGCUAGAGAAAAUGUCACAUGCUUUCUCUUUAUAAUCUUACAUUGAAAACAAUGCACACUAUGAGAAACUCAGAAAUUAAUACCAAUGAAUAUUCGUAACACAGAUCAAAUGAAAGAUAGAUUAUACAAAUAAUGUCAUUUGUAUUUUUGAUUUAACCAGUGGUAAUUGCGAACACUUUUAUCUUGUUCAGGAGUCAAUUUCUGGAUGCCUCAUUGUGUAGGUCAUUUUUCUCUAAAAUAUUAAAAUGAAAAUAUAUCGUGUAGUACUUUUAUUCAUACUUCGUCUAGUAGCUCAUCAUCAUUUCUUUGGUGCUAUACUGAAAGUUUAUCAUCUCUGCUGAUAAGAGAUUUGUGUACUCUCUAAAGAAUAACCAAUUGGAACGUUUCUCAGUGGCAACAUUUCGAGAAAAUGUUGUUUAAAUAAAUAUUUUGGAAAGAAGGAAACAGAAAAAAAGGAUGAAAAAAUAAAGCUCUACUUCAACUUUAAAAGUAUCAUACGUUAAUCAGUACAGACAUACACCAGAAUUUUUGCCACAAGCUAAAUAUUAGCUUUAAAGGACGAGGAGCAAUUUAAAGUGACCUUCUGAUGGAACAGAUAAAAAAAUAAGGAAUCCGCUCACUAACUGAUUGCACUUCAUGUUACAUAUGUAAGAAUAUGUAAUAAAAAUCCAUCACUCGGAGUCACAGGAGACUGCAGGAGGGAUUGAAAAUUUACCUGUUUAACUUAAAAAUUUAGCAGUCCUCCACUCUCAAGUAAAUAGAGAGUG
This 3873-nucleotide long non-coding RNA is filed under the name Bemisia tabaci. RNAcentral's name for it is "lncRNA ENSSSA2NGG002294". The record is from RNAcentral. Lineage: Eukaryota; Metazoa; Arthropoda; Insecta; Hemiptera; Aleyrodidae.